RNAcentral lists this long non-coding RNA (1934 nucleotides) under Marmota monax (woodchuck). Lineage: Eukaryota; Metazoa; Chordata; Mammalia; Rodentia; Sciuridae. The record is from RNAcentral.
CAGCUGUAGGCUUGAGGGGACAGCCCGCAGGACCACGGACCCGCCCACUCGGGCAGACCUCCACCCUUCAGGGUCUCUGCGUGGCUCCACAGGCACCGUGAGCCCCUGUCCUCACUGUCCCCCCCCAGGCCCCGCUGCCCGCCCUGGGGCCGCCUCUGCUCCACCUGGGCGCAGACCCAGCUGCCCUGCAGGCGCUGGUGACCUCCGGGUCGUCUCCCUUCCCCCCUGGGCAGAACAGGGCCGCGUGGCCCUGGGAGCUGGGGCAGAGGGGCGGAAGGCCCAGGGGACCCUGGAGCAUCCCCCGGGCUGCCUGUGCUGGCGGAGGGCGGCCCAGGCCGUGGAGGGUGGACAGGAGCCAGAGUCCAGUCUGGGGCCGGGCCUCCGAGCUCUGCAGGGCGCUGCGCACCUCCCCGGCUCCCUGGCCCCCAGCCCCCAGGCCUCCUGGUCUCGGGGACCUCACCGCUCCCCACCUCAGUGCGGGCUCUUCGGCCCCACCCCACCGUCCCCAGGGGCUGCCCAGCGGGGUUGUCCCCGGCUCCUUCCUCAGCUGGAAGGCCACGGCCCUCCUUCCUGUGCGCGCCUGUCCAGUGGCUCUGGCCGAUGUGCUCAGCGUGGCCCGCGAGGCCUUGGCCCAGGCCAGAGGCCUGACCUGGGGAGGGCACCCUGACGGGACCUCUGAGGAGUGGCCAGGAGAGGGCGGUCAGAGCUCCAGGGCCAAGACCCAGGCCCCCCCCCCGCCCCCGAGGCGGAAGGACCCUGGGGGCAGCGGGCAGGACUCCAGCCUCCACGGGGACCAGCGCGGGUGGAGGCUCCCCAGGCCUGGAGGUGCUCGGUCCAGGCUGAGCCGCGGCACCAGAGGGGCUGGACCGGGUGGGACUUGGGGACACUUCUGGCUCCACAUGGAGGAGUUUCCAAGGAACCUGGGCUCCCGCCUCGGGGUGUCAGACGUGACUUUCCCGGGGAUCCCACCUCCACUGUGGAAUCCAGAAAUCUUCCGACACAGACUGGAGGCCAUCGCCGGUGCCGUCGCCGGUCGUCCGCAUGCCGUCCUGCGCGGGCUGCUGCCUGCCAGCUGCGCAGCCUCGGGCCCGGCCACCUCUCAGCUCCCUACUGGCCAGGCUGUAGGGAGCCUGUGGAAGUUCCUGAGUGAGUGGGCGUGUUCCAUGUGGAACCUGUGCCUGGUCGGGUGGGUCGGGGAGGACCGUUGGAAUCGGUGUGGCAGGCAACCCCUGUUGGUCCCAAAGCAGGACGCCUGGGGAAUGGAGGGCAGGGUGGAGGGCUGGGGCAGGGUCUCCCUGGACCACCGAGGGGGCUGGGGGGAGGGGAGUCGCAGGCAGGGCGCUGAGCGAGGGCUGGGUGGGUGGGGGUGCCGUGUGCCCGUGUGUGGUUGUGUGCACGCAGGUGCACGUUGUCAGGUGGCUGGGCCUCCCCUGUGCACACCUGCUUUCUGCUGUCACAGCAAGAGGACAAGCUCCGGCGAGUCUCCGGCCAAGGACAGAGGAGCUCUUCGUUUCCGGGGCCUCCGCGUGACUGCUGUCCAAGCUCUUCCUUCUCCAAAACGAGAAACCAAGUCGCCUCUCCAGCACUUGGAGACCGAUCUCUUUCAAACGAACGUCCCGAGAAGCGACUCCCUGGAGCAGGAAGGGGGCCUGCCAGGAGCAGGGCCCAUGGACGCCCAAAGGCAGGGGCCCUGGUCCAGCGGCCCUGGUCCUGCUGCGCGGGCCCCUCUGCUGCAGGCCGCCCAGGAUGGGGUCCCUGCAGCCUCACCCCCGUCCCCAGCUUGCCCCGUCCCUCGGCCACAGCCUUCCCUGGGGUGGGACUGGGGACUUGGGGACAUGCCCAUCUGCCCGUCCUGAGACCGUCCAGGGCAGGACUUUUCCCAGGCCACACAGACAGGGAGAGGAGCCAGGUCAUCCUGGGUCCAGCGCCUGGGC